GACGAACGCUGGCGGCGUGCCUAAUACAUGCAAGUUGAGCGCUGAAGGUUGGUACUUGUACCAACUGGAUGAGCAGCGAACGGGUGAGUAACGCGUGGGGAGUCUGCCUUUGAGCGGGGGACAACAUUUGGAAACGAAUGCUAAUACCGCAUAAAAACUUUAAACACAAGUUUUAAGUUUGAAAGAUGCAAUUGCAUCACUCAAAGAUGAUCCCGCGUUGUAUUAGCUAGUUGGUGAGGUAAAGGCUCACCAAGGCGAUGAUACAUAGCCGACCUGAAAGGGUGAUCGGCCACAUUGGGAAUGAGACACGGCCCAAACUCCUACGGGAGGCAGCAGUAGGGAAUCUUCGGCAAUGGACGAAAGUCUGACCGAGCAACGCCGCGUGAGUGAAGAAGGUUUUCGGAUCGUAAAACUCUGUUGGUAGAGAAGAACGUUGGUGAGAGUGGAAAGCUCAUCAAGUGACGGUAACUACCCAGAAAGGGACGGCUAACUACGUG
This 497-nucleotide ribosomal RNA is filed under the name uncultured bacterium. Its description in RNAcentral is "partial 16S ribosomal RNA". It matches the Rfam family "Bacterial small subunit ribosomal RNA", at positions 28 to 507 of the family's 1533-position model. The record is from RNAcentral.